CAAUAGCGUAUAUUAAAGUUGUUGCAGUUAAAAAGCUCGUAGUUGGAUUUCUGGUAGGAGCGACCAUACCAGACUUGAUUGUCCGCGUAAUGCGUUGUCUCCAGCCAUCCUCGUGGAGAUUGUUUUUGGCAUUAACUUGUCGAAUUCGGGACCCGCGUCAUUUACUGUGAAAAAAUUAGAGUGUUUAAAGCAGGCAAUUGGCUUGAAUACAUUAGCAUGGAAUAAUAAGAUAGGACUUUGGUGCUAUUUUGUUGGUUUGCACAUCAAGGUAAUGAUUAACAGAAUCAGUCGGGGAUAUUCGUAUGCAAAUGUCAGAGGUGAAAUUCUUGGAUUUUUUACAGACGAACAACUGCGAAAGCAUUUAUCAAGGAUGUUUUCAUUAA
This 383-nucleotide ribosomal RNA is filed under the name uncultured eukaryote. RNAcentral's name for it is "partial 18S ribosomal RNA". It matches the Rfam family "Eukaryotic small subunit ribosomal RNA", at positions 592 to 976 of the family's 1831-position model. The record is from RNAcentral.